AAUGCUCCACACAGGUUUAAAAAACUUGAAUACGUGGCCAUCCAACUGAAUCAGUGAUGAAACACCAGCAGCUAUGGUUGAUAGGGAUAUCGGCAGUUAGCUGUAAAUUAGGUGU
Molecule: small RNA, 115 nt
Filed under: unclassified sequences
Description: COG3943 RNA
Rfam family: COG3943 RNA
About the family: cow rumen.
Source: Rfam by way of RNAcentral